GCACGGGUUUGGAUUUAUGGCAGAUCUGUCCCCUGGGCCUCUCAUAGUGUCCUUUGCCAGAGCAAACUGCGACCCGAACCAUUGCCUGGCUGGGUCACCUGCCUGUGGGCUAUAGGCACUGAAGUGGGUUGCACAGUG
Suncus etruscus (white-toothed pygmy shrew) is the source of this 138-nucleotide small nucleolar RNA. RefSeq annotates it as small nucleolar RNA SNORA42/SNORA80 family. The transcript has a single exon. The record is from RefSeq and is a predicted model, not a curated record. NCBI's taxonomy places the organism in Eukaryota, Metazoa, Chordata, Mammalia, Eulipotyphla, Soricidae.